GAGCUACCGCUAUUGGAGUUCGAUUAAGCCAUGCGAGUCUAGAGGCCUAGCCUCGGCGUACCGCUCAGUAACACGUGGGUAACCUACCCUAUGCUGGGGGAUAAGCUCGGGAAACUGAGAAUAAUACCCCAUAGUCCACUACGCCUGGAACGGUGAGUGGAUCAAAGCUCCGGCGGCAUAGGAUGGGCCUGCGGCGUAUCAGGUUGUAGGGGGUGUAACGUACCCUCUAGCCAUCCACGCGUACGGGUGUUGGGAGACAUUGCCCGGAGAUGGAUUCUGAGACACGAAUCCAGACCCUACGGGGUGCAGCAGGCGCGAAAACUUGGCAAUGCGAGAAAUCGUGACCAGGGAACUCCAAGUGGCAGGGGUAAGACCCUGUCUUUUUCCGACUCUAAAUAGGUCGGCGAAUAAGGGGUGGGUAAGGACGGUGCCAGCCGCCGCGGUAAUACCGGCGCCUCAAGUGGUAGUCGCUUUUAUUGGGCCUAAAACGUCCGUAGCCGGUCUGGUACAUUCGUGGGUAAAUCAACUCGCUUAACGAGUUGAAUUCUGCGAGGACGGCCAGACUUGGGACCGGGAGAGGUGUGGGGUACUCUCAGGGUAGGGGUAAAAUCCUGUCAUCCUGAGAGGACCACCUGUUGCGAAGGCUCCACACUAGAACGGAUCCGACGGUCAGGGACGAAGCCUAGGGGCACGAACCGGAUUAGAUACCCGGGUAGUCCUAGGUGUAAACGCUGUGGACUUGAUGUUGGGGACGCUCCGAGCGUUCUCAGUGUCGAAGCGAAGGUGAUAAGUCCACUGCCUGGGGAGUACGGUCGCAAGGCUGAAACUUAAAGGAAUUGGCGGGGGA
RNAcentral lists this ribosomal RNA (847 nucleotides) under uncultured marine archaeon. RNAcentral's name for it is "bacterial SSU rRNA". It matches the Rfam family "Archaeal small subunit ribosomal RNA", at positions 21 to 875 of the family's 1478-position model. The record is from RNAcentral.